Molecule: long non-coding RNA, 1682 nt
Organism: Daphnia pulex (common water flea)
Lineage: Eukaryota; Metazoa; Arthropoda; Branchiopoda; Diplostraca; Daphniidae
Exons: 3
Source: RefSeq, a predicted model, not a curated record
UCUAGACAAUAAUAACACGGAAUCCUACAGUUUAGUGCGUAGUAGUUCGCCAUUCAAUGCUAAUACAAUUUCAUUACAAUGGUUUUGUCAAAUGAGGAAUUUAACACAGCCGAAAUCUGUGACAUUGACGUAGAGAAAGAACAAAUGUCGUCGCUUUUCCAGCUGAGACAGAGCACGCACAGUUUCCUUAUUCAAUGUUUGGCUGACCGGGAAAUUCAACUGCUAAUUUAUUCCAAGCCAAAUUAUUCAUCGUCUAAAUCAGCUUAUAGUUAUAACUGUGCAGUAAUUCACAAUCCACAUGCUUGGUAACAUCUGAACGCAGUUAGAGGUCCCGGAUGGAACACUAAAAGACACCAACCUUUAGAUCCAAAGUUAAAAAUUGUGCAUGUUCUCGCUAAUCAGUAUUCCAAUAAAAAGCAGAACUUUAAUGAUCAUUUAAAGACUCAACAGGCAAGAGAACAAAUUCGACAACAUGAAGAAACUAUACGUAUUCUUAUGGAAGAAAAUGCUCAAGUAAAACAACUUUAUUUGAAUGCCCUAAAGGACCGCAAUGGAAACACUGGGAACCUUAACACAAAUAAUAACGCAUCUAAUAGUCAACAGUUAAUUCAGCUCCAGCAGGAGACACGAGCUUUAAAAGCUGUUAUCGAGUCCCACAAAGCAACAAUCCAGAUACUUAAAGAUCAGAAUGUCAGUUUACAAUUGAAAGUGAAUGGCUUGCAAACUCAAUCGUCUUCCGAAAACCAAAUAAAUGCAUCUAAUAAUCAGCUUAUUUAUAAGUUGCAACAAGAUAUACGAACGAUGAAAUCGAUGAUGCAGCAAAAGAUAGAGACAAUCCGGACACUUGAGAGCCAAAAUCUUAGUUUGCAAGCGAGACUUCGAGAAGCGGUAAUGCAUCCACCUUCCGGUAGUCUCCCUCCUAGAGCAUCCAGGACGAGAGAUAGUGGUUCUCAAGGUUGCUGUAUUAUUAUGUAAACGCACAAAUAACCGCAAAUAACGCGAGGCAUAUAUUACCGGUAGUCAGAAAUGUCAAAAUUUACAUGCUAUCCCUCAAUUCCUAAUCUUAAAAAAACAAUUAGAAAAUGUGUAACAGGCUAACAACACUACAUUUAAUAAACUAUUAUAACGCAGAGAAAAUUCAAUUACAACAUUUACAGUUCGGUGCUUAGUUUUUAAAUUGAUUCGAAAAGAGAAAACCUUCCUUUAUUGUACCCACUGUGCCACUAGGCAUAUGGGUGAUACGUGACACAAGGAAGAAGUAAAGGCAAUUUCCUCAUCCAAUGUCUGAGUCUGACCGAUCGUGAAAUUCAAAAACCUGAUAGUUUCCCCUGUCGCGUCGUCUAAAGCAGCUUAUCGGUGUAACUGCGCCGUUAUUCACGUUCCCCAAGCCUGGUUGGCUGGUUCCAUACAAGAAAUGCGAUAAAUUUUCGGAUACAUUUUUAUUGAUUCGUGCCGCCCAAAAAAGCCACCAUUUGUCUACUCCUUGCUAGGCCAAAAUUUCUCAUUUCCCGUUCCCUCCACACAACUGUCAAAACUAGAUAACGAGGACGUGCUAUUUGAUAUGUGAACAGAAGAAACUGAAACCAAAAUAUACGAUUACGCGGCCAAUAAUUAUUAGUAACUACGGGUAAAAAUUCCGGGUAUUUUGUCUUUUUCUAGUAAUAAACUAUACUAGUUCAAAA